CCUACGUGAGACUGCAGUGGGGAAUAUUGCGCAAUGGGCGAAAGCCUGACGCAGCGACGCCGCGUGAGGGAUGAAGGUCUUCGGUUCGUAGACCUCUGUCAGCAGGGAAGAACGGUCACUGUGCUAAUCAGCAGUGAAUUGACGGUACCUGCAAAGGAAGCACCGGCUAACUCCGUGCCAGCAGCCGCGGUAAUACGGAGGGUGCGAGCGUUAAUCGGAAUUACUGGGCGUAAAGCGCUCGUAGGCGGUAUGUCAAGUCAAGGGUGAAAUCCCCGCGCUCAACGUGGGAACUGCCUUUGAAACUGGCAAACUGGAGUGUGUGAGAGGAUAGUGGAAUUCCAGGUGGAGGAGUGAAAUCCGUAGAUAUCUGGAGGAACAUCAGUUGCGAAGGCGACUAUCUGGCACAUAACUGACGCUGAGGAGCGAAAGCGUGGGUAGCAAACAGGAUUAGAUACCCGAGUAGUC
RNAcentral lists this ribosomal RNA (465 nucleotides) under uncultured bacterium. RNAcentral describes it as "partial 16S ribosomal RNA". It matches the Rfam family "Bacterial small subunit ribosomal RNA", at positions 338 to 795 of the family's 1533-position model. The record is from RNAcentral.